This 420-nucleotide ribosomal RNA is filed under the name uncultured prokaryote. RNAcentral describes it as "bacterial SSU rRNA". It matches the Rfam family "Bacterial small subunit ribosomal RNA", at positions 355 to 774 of the family's 1533-position model. The record is from RNAcentral.
UGGGGAAUUUUGGACAAUGGGGGAAACCCUGAUCCAGCAACGCUGCGUGGAGGACGAAGGUCUAUUGAUCGUAAACUCCUUUUGCAGGGGACGAAUGUACGGAGCAAUCCGUAUUUGACGGUACUCUGCGAAUAAGCCACGGCUAACUAUGUGCCAGCAGCCGCGGUAAGACAUAGGUGGCAAGCGUUACUCGGAAUUACUAGGCGUAAAGCGCGUGCAGGCGGAUGCUUAAGUCCGUAGUUUAAUCUCCCGGCUCAACCGGGAAAGGUCUGCGGAUACUGGGCGUCUGGAGUGGGACAGAGGAAGCUGGAAUUCCCGGUGUAGCGGUGAAAUGCGUAGAUAUCGGGAAGAACACCGGCGGCGAAGGCGGGCUUCUGGGUCCUCACUGACGCUGAGACGCGAAAGCUAGGGGAGCAAACA